GUGUCAGCAGCCGCGGUAAUACGUAGGGUGCGAGCGUUAAUCGGAAUUACUGGGCGUAAAGCGUGCGCAGGCGGUUUAGUAAGACAGGCGUGAAAUCCCCGGGCUCAACCUGGGAACUGCGCUUGUGACUGCUAAGCUAGAGUACGGCAGAGGGGGGUGGAAUUCCACGUGUAGCAGUGAAAUGCGUAGAGAUGUGGAGGAACACCGAUGGCGAAGGCAGCCCCCUGGGCCGAUACUGACGCUCAUGCACGAAAGCGUGGGUAGCAAACAGGAUUAGAUACCCUGGUAGUCCACGCCCUAAACGAUGUCAACUAGGUGUUGGGAGGGUAAAACCUUUUAGUACCGGAGCUAACGCGUGAAGUUGACCGCCUGGGGAGUACGGCCGCAAGGUUAAAACUCAAAGGAAUUGGCGG
RNAcentral lists this ribosomal RNA (413 nucleotides) under uncultured bacterium. Its description in RNAcentral is "bacterial SSU rRNA". It matches the Rfam family "Bacterial small subunit ribosomal RNA", at positions 505 to 916 of the family's 1533-position model. The record is from RNAcentral.